Molecule: ribosomal RNA, 649 nt
Filed under: uncultured bacterium
Lineage: Bacteria
Description: bacterial SSU rRNA
Rfam family: Bacterial small subunit ribosomal RNA
Source: RNAcentral
CAGGCCUAACACAUGCAAGUCGAGCGCGCCUUCGGGCGAGCGGCGGACGGGUUAGUAACGCGUGGGAACGUGCCCAGAUCUACGGAAUAGCCACUGGAAACGGUGAGUAAUACCGUAUACGCCCUUCGGGGGAAAGAUUUAUCGGAUUUGGAUCGGCCCGCGUUAGAUUAGGUAGUUGGUGGGGUAACGGCCUACCAAGCCUACGAUCUAUAGCUGGUUUUAGAGGAUGAUCAGCAACACUGGGACUGAGACACGGCCCAGACUCCUACGGGAGGCAGCAGUGGGGAAUCUUGGACAAUGGGGGCAACCCUGAUCCAGCCAUGCCGCGUGAGUGAAGAAGGCCCUAGGGUCGUAAAACUCUUUCGCCUGUGAUGAUAAUGACAGUAGCAGAUAAAGAAACCCCGGCUAACUCCGUGCCAGCAGCCGCGGUAAUACGGAGGGGGUUAGCGUUGUUCGGAAUUACUGGGCGUAAAGCGCACGUAGGCGGAUUAGAAAGUUAGAGGUGAAAUCCCGGGGCUCAACCCCGGAACUGCCUUUAAAACUACUAGUCUAGAGUUCGAGAGAGGUGAGUGGAAUUCCGAGUGUAGAGGUGAAAUUCGUAGAUAUUCGGAGGAACACCAGUGGCGAAGGCGGCUCACUGGCUCGAUAC